CAAACAUGCAAUGUGGUGGUUCU
Molecule: non-coding RNA, 23 nt
Filed under: Arabidopsis thaliana (thale cress)
Lineage: Eukaryota; Viridiplantae; Streptophyta; Magnoliopsida; Brassicales; Brassicaceae
Source: RNAcentral